This 835-nucleotide ribosomal RNA is filed under the name uncultured bacterium. RNAcentral describes it as "bacterial SSU rRNA". It matches the Rfam family "Bacterial small subunit ribosomal RNA", at positions 38 to 915 of the family's 1533-position model. The record is from RNAcentral.
CGGGGCAAUGCGCUGGCUAUACAUGCAGUCGAACGAGAUCUUCGGAUCUAGUGGCGCACGGGUGCGUAACGCGUGGGACUUUUCCCUUGGGUUCGGAAUAACUUCUGGAAACGGAAGCUAAUACUGGAUGAUGACGUAAGUCCAAAGAUUUAUCGCCCAAGGAUGAGCCCGCGUAGGAUUAGGUAGUUGGUGAGGUAAAGGCUCACCAAGCCGACGAUCCUUAGCUGGUCUGAGAGGAUGAUCAGCCACACUGGGACUGAGACACGGCCCAGACUCCUACGGGAGGCAGCAGUAGGGAAUAUUGGACAAUGGGCGAAAGCCUGAUCCAGCAAUGCCGCGUGAGUGAUGAAGGCCUUAGGGUUGUAAAGCUCUUUUACCCGGGAUGAUAAUGACAGUACCGGGAGAAUAAGCUCCGGCUAACUCCGUGCCAGCAGCCGCGGUAAUACGGAGGGAGCUAGCGUUGUUCGGAAUUACUGGGCGUAAAGCGCACGUAGGCGGCUAUUCAAGUCAGAGGUGAAAGCCCGGGGCUCAACCCCGGAACUGCCUUUGAAACUAGAUAGCUUGAAUCCAGGAGAGGUGAGUGGAAUUCCGAGUGUAGAGGUGAAAUUCGUAGAUAUUCGGAAGAACACCAGUGGCGAAGGCGGCUCACUGGACUGGUAUUGACGCUGAGGUGCGAAAGCGUGAGGAGCAAACAGGAUUAGAUACCCUGGUAGUCCACGCCGUAAACGAUGAUAACUAGCUGUCAGGGCACAUGGUGUUUUGGUGGCGCAGCUAACGCAUUUAGUGAUCCGCCUGGGGAGUACGGUCGCAAGAUUUAAAACUCAAGGAAUUGACG